CAAGGAUCUUCGGUCCCGUCACCCUCUUCUAAUCUCACCGUCGCUCACCGCCCCCGCACUUCUCCGCGGAGCAAGAGAGGAGAAGACCGGGAUGUUGCUGGGGAAGCGACCGAGGCCCCAGGUGAGGCGGACGCCGAGCUCCGCGGAGUUCUCCUCGGCCGUCGUCUUCGAUGUAGAGGCCGCCCAGACGUCUAAUCAGGACGCGAUCGCUUGCCACUUUAAUCCGAGGGAGACGCGGUGGGGCGCGGCGGAGGCUGCGCAGAUCGGGGCCGCCGGGAGAGAAGGCUGUUGGGCGACGAGGCACGUGGGGUCCACGCUUUUCCUCCACAGCGGCGUGCACUGUGGGAACUCCGGCGACGGGACGGCGCCCUUCUUGAGGGCCUGCGGCCUCUGCAAUCGCCGCCUCGGACCUGGCCGAGAUACUUACAUGUAUAGGGGUGACAUUGCUUUCUGUAGCCUUGAGUGCCGCCAGCAACAAAUGAAUUCAGAUGAGCAGAAAGAGAAGUGCUAUCUAACUUCUAUGAAUGAUAAUCCUCUUGAAACUAGCUGCUCCAACCAAUCCGACUGUGAGGCAUCGAUCACUGCUACCUGAGCUAUCAUUAAUAACUGUUCAUAGAAUUUUCAGUGAUUCCAAACAAGAUAUUUCAAAUGCUAUAAUGCAAAGAGAUACAUCAACAGCAUGUAAGAAGUGAUUUGGGAACCAUGACCUAAGAGCUACAACACAUGCAAGUGACUGGAACUUCAAGAUUGGCAGGAUCUUUUGAUGAACUUACUCUUAUCAAGCACUAACAAACCACCAGAUUUAAGGUUGCAAGCUGAAAACUCUACCUCAGUCCUUCAGCUAAGAAUCAAGUCUUGACAAGAUACAAGCUGCAUGUGUUCCAGUCUGUUUCCUGAAGAACAUUUGAAGGGUAAGCUUUGAAAAUGAUGUGACCUGCACAAAGCUGGCCAAUGAUACUUGUACAAGCAGUCUUUAGUGGCACCUGGGUCUCUCUUGUACCAUCAUGGUGGGCUUUAUCUCUGAUGACUUGAUAAUAAUGUGGCUCACUCCUGCAAUGUAGACUGGUGACCAACUAAAAGUCUGAUGACAUUAUGCCUCUUCUAUCUCACCAACAGGCAGUGGCUCACAUCAACUGAAAGCUUCAGGUGGAUGCAAACGAAGCCCAAAGACAAGCCAAUUACAAUGACAUUAAGCCUUGAUGUUCCAACAACUAUUUGGGAUUCAAUUCAUGAAUCUUUUCUCACUAUUAAUCAUUGUGUAAGACCAUGGUUUAGUUAAAUCAUCAAGAGCAUUGAAAUGUUGUUAUACAUUGUUUCUAAUAAAAUCUUCUU
RNA transcript from Musa acuminata subsp. malaccensis (wild Malaysian banana), 1332 nucleotides. It is a transcript of the gene named FCS-Like Zinc finger 5, with no coding region annotated. NCBI's taxonomy places the organism in Eukaryota, Viridiplantae, Streptophyta, Magnoliopsida, Zingiberales, Musaceae. The record is from RefSeq and is a predicted model, not a curated record.